GAUGAACGCUGGCGGCGUGCCUAAUACAUGCAAGUCGAGCGAACAGACGAGGAGCUUGCUCCUCUGACGUUAGCGGCGGACGGGUGAGUAACACGUGGAUAACCUACCUAUAAGACUGGGAUAACUUCGGGAAACCGGAGCUAAUACCGGAUAAUAUAUUGAACCGCAUGGUUCAAUAGUGAAAGACGGUUUUGCUGUCACUUAUAGAUGGAUCCGCGCCGCAUUAGCUAGUUGGUAAGGUAACGGCUUACCAAGGCGACGAUGCGUAGCCGACCUGCGAGGGUGAUCGGCCACACUGGAACUGGGACACGGUCCAUACUCCUACGGGAGGCAGCAGUAGGGAAUCUUACGCAAUGGGCGAAAGCUUGACGGAGCAACGCCGCGUGAGUGAUGAAGGUCUUCGGAUCGUAAAACUCUGUUAUUAGGGAAGAACAAAUGUGUAAGUAACUAUGCACGUCUUGACGGUACCUAAUCAGAAAGCCACGGCUAACUACGUG
RNAcentral lists this ribosomal RNA (497 nucleotides) under uncultured bacterium. RNAcentral's name for it is "partial 16S ribosomal RNA". It matches the Rfam family "Bacterial small subunit ribosomal RNA", at positions 28 to 507 of the family's 1533-position model. The record is from RNAcentral.